UAAUAGAUGUUGGCAACAGUUGGUCCACUGUAGGAGUAGAGUGCACAUCGAGAUGGAAUCUAUCGACCUUGAUAGAGAGGAGUAGUUCUAUGAAAUUUGAGAGGCUAAGUCCGAGAGUCUAUGGCCACAGCAGUGUAAUAGAUGGAAAAAAAUUUUCAUGAGGAUCACAACUGGACUUGAGUUAAUCAAAUCUAUCAUAUAACUGAUGAUGAGAUUUGAUAAUUUAUCCAUGACCUAUCAUCUAAUCGUGACUCACGAUAGAGGGACUGAAUCAC
Molecule: long non-coding RNA, 275 nt
Filed under: Elaeis guineensis (African oil palm)
Lineage: Eukaryota; Viridiplantae; Streptophyta; Magnoliopsida; Arecales; Arecaceae
Description: long non-coding RNA (EGUI_LNC054715)
Source: RNAcentral